AGCACUGCUAGUGUAUACCACGAGUACUGCGGUUAAAAAGCUCGUAGUUGGAUCUGCGGCUAUGGAUUGUAGUCCUCCCAAUGGGAGCGCACUAUCUAUCCGAGCCUAAUAUGCUGGUUUUCUGGCGAUGAUCUUCAUUGUUUUGUCGUCAGAGGCUAGCGAUUUUACCUUGAAAAAAUUGGAGUGCUCAGAACAGGCCUUUGCCUGAACAGUUGUGCAUGGAAUAAUGGAAUAGGAUUUCGAUUCUAUUUUGUUGGUUUUAGGAGUUGAAAUAAUGAUUAAGAGGGACAGACGGGGGCAUUCGUAUUGCUACGUUAGAGGUGAAAUUCUUGGAUCGUAGCAAGACGGACAACUGCGAAGGCAUUUGCCAAGAAUGUUUUCAUUAAUCAAGAACGAAAGU
RNAcentral lists this ribosomal RNA (400 nucleotides) under phytoplankton environmental sample. Its description in RNAcentral is "partial small subunit ribosomal RNA". It matches the Rfam family "Eukaryotic small subunit ribosomal RNA", at positions 587 to 990 of the family's 1831-position model. The record is from RNAcentral.